This 843-nucleotide ribosomal RNA is filed under the name Durinskia baltica. RNAcentral describes it as "partial Bacterial small subunit ribosomal RNA". It matches the Rfam family "Bacterial small subunit ribosomal RNA", at positions 34 to 929 of the family's 1533-position model. The record is from RNAcentral. Lineage: Eukaryota; Dinophyceae; Peridiniales; Kryptoperidiniaceae.
CGCUGGCGGCAGGCUUAACACAUGCAAGUCGAACGAUAUAGUGGCAGACGGGUGAGUAACGCGUGGAAACGUGCCUUUCACUACGGAAUAGCUUUUGGAAACGAAAGGUAAUACCGUAUACGCCCUCCGGGGGAAAGAUUUAUCGGUGAAAGAUCGGUCCGCGUUAGAUUAGCUAGUUGGUGAGGUAAGAGCUCACCAAGGCGACGAUCUAUAGCUGGUCUGAGAGGAUGAUCAGCCACACCGGGACUGAGACACGGCCCGGACUCCUACGGGAGGCAGCAGUGGGGAAUAUUGCGCAAUGGGCGGAAGCCUGACGCAGCGACGCCGCGUGGGGGAUGACGGCCUUCGGGUUGUAAACCUCUUUCGCCAGGGACGAAGAGCAAUUGACGGUACCUGGAGAAGAAGCACCGGCCAACUACGUGCCAGCAGCCGCGGUAACACGUAGGGUGCGAGCGUUGUCCGGAAUUAUUGGGCGUAAAGGGCUUGUAGGCGGUCCGUCGCGUCAGGAGUGAAAACUCGGGGCUUAACCCCGAGCCUGCUUUUGAUACGGGCGGACUAGAGGGAUGCAGGGGAGAACGGAAUUCCUGGUGGAGCGGUGGAAUGCGCAGAUAUCAGGAGGAACACCGGUGGCGAAGGCGGGUCUCUGGGCCGAUACUGACGCUGAGGAGCGAAAGCGUGGGGAGCGAACAGGAUUAGAUACCCUGGUAGUCCACACCGUAAACGAUGAGAGCUAGUUGUCUGCAGGCAUGCCUGUAGGUGACGCAGCUAACGCAUUAAGCUCUCCGCCUGGGGAGUACGGCCGCAAGGCUAAAACUCAAAGGAAUUGACGGGGGCCCGCACAAG